ACCCUACGCGUCCCACAUCGGAAGAAUCAACAUCUCCCACGCUUCCAACGGCAAAAAGAUUCUUCCGGGUUUCAUUGUUCAUAAGUGCUAUAUUUGCUUUCUAGAGCUUUUAUAUCCUUUUGUACACUCUUUUAUUGUGGUGCUUGUUCCAGUCAAGGGACUUGGAACAAGAGAAAGGGCGUCCCAAGCCUAAGAGAAAUUGGGGGUUUUGGGUUUGUUGUGAGCCCGGUGUAAACAAUGAGUUGGGUAGUGAACUCGCAAAACUACCGUACUGUAAUCUUGGAUUAUAGUGGAAAUUCCCAAGGCGAUUUGGGGAGUGGAUGUAGGAGCGGUGAAGGCUCCGAACCACUAUAAAAUCGUGUGUUUGUGGUUGUCUCUUCUUAUCGCUUUAUCUUUGCUUUAGUUCAUAUAUUUGUGUGUUUUAUUUUUAAAUUAGCCAAAAAGUUUUAAAACACCCAAUUCACCCCCCUCUUGGGUGACCAUCUC
RNAcentral lists this long non-coding RNA (486 nucleotides) under Phoenix dactylifera (date palm). RNAcentral's name for it is "long non-coding RNA (PDAC_LNC022762)". Lineage: Eukaryota; Viridiplantae; Streptophyta; Magnoliopsida; Arecales; Arecaceae. The record is from RNAcentral.